UACAGAGGUCUCAAGCGUUGUUCGGAUUCAUUGGGCGUAAAGGGUGCGUAGGUGGCGCGGUAAGUCGGGUGUGAAAUCUCGGAGCUUAACUCCGAAAUUGCAUUCGAUACUACCGUGCUCGAGGACUGGAGAGGAGACUGGAAUUCAUGGUGUAGCAGUGAAAUGCGUAGAGAUCAUGAGGAAGACCAGUGGCGAAGGCGGGUCUCUGGACCGGUAUUGACGCUGAGGUGCGAAAGCGUGGGGAGCAAACAGG
RNAcentral lists this ribosomal RNA (253 nucleotides) under uncultured bacterium. RNAcentral describes it as "partial 16S ribosomal RNA". It matches the Rfam family "Bacterial small subunit ribosomal RNA", at positions 524 to 776 of the family's 1533-position model. The record is from RNAcentral.